RNAcentral lists this transfer RNA (67 nucleotides) under marine eukaryotic metagenome. It matches the Rfam family "tRNA". Rfam says of the family: Transfer RNA (tRNA) molecules are approximately 80 nucleotides in length. Their secondary structure includes four short double-helical elements and three loops (D, anti-codon, and T loops). Further hydrogen bonds mediate the characteristic L-shaped molecular structure. tRNAs have two regions of fundamental functional importance: the anti-codon, which is responsible for specific mRNA codon recognition, and the 3' end, to which the tRNAs corresponding amino acid is attached (by aminoacyl-tRNA synthetases). tRNAs cope with the degeneracy of the genetic code in two manners: having more than one tRNA (with a specific anti-codon) for a particular amino acid; and 'wobble' base-pairing, i.e. permitting non-standard base-pairing at the 3rd anti-codon position. The record is from RNAcentral.
CGGGUGUAGUUCAAUGGUAGAACCUCAGCUUCCCAAGCUGAUGAUGUGGGUUCGAUUCCCAUCACCC